UAGGGAAUCUUUNGCAAUGGGCGAAAGCCUANGGAGCAACCCGCGUGAGUGAAGAAGAUUUCGGUUUCGUAAAGCUCAGUUGUUAGGGAAGAAUGAUUGUGUAGCAACUAUACACAGUAGAGACGGUACCUAACCAGAAAGCCACGGCUAACUACGUGCCAGCAGCCGCGGUAAUACGUAGGUGGCAAGCGUUGUCCGGAAUUAUUGGGCGUAAAGAGCGCCGCGCAAUNANAUAAUUUUGAUGUGAAAGCCCACGGCUCAACCGUGGAGGGUCAUUGGAAACUGUUAAACUUGAGUGCAGGAGAGAAAAGUGGAAUUCCUAGUGUAGCGGUGAAAUGCGUAGAGAUUAGAAGGAGGGAGGAACANCAGUGNNGAAGGCGGUUUUUUGGCCUGUAACUGACAUNAGGCGCGAAAGCGUGGGGAGCAAACAGGAUUAGAUACCCUGGUAGUCCACGCCGUAAACGAUGAGUGCUAAGUGUUGGUCUCAUAAGAGAUCAGUGCUGCAGCUAACGCAUUAAGCACUCCGCCUGGGGAGUACGACCGCAAGGUUG
Molecule: ribosomal RNA, 551 nt
Filed under: uncultured bacterium
Lineage: Bacteria
Description: bacterial SSU rRNA
Rfam family: Bacterial small subunit ribosomal RNA
Source: RNAcentral